This 469-nucleotide ribosomal RNA is filed under the name uncultured bacterium. RNAcentral describes it as "partial 16S ribosomal RNA". It matches the Rfam family "Bacterial small subunit ribosomal RNA", at positions 28 to 507 of the family's 1533-position model. The record is from RNAcentral.
GACGAACGCUGGCGGCGUGCUUAACACAUGCAAGUCGAACGGAAAGGCCCUGCUUUUGUGGGGUGCUCGAGUGGCGAACGGGUGAGUAACACGUGAGUAACCUGCCCUUGACUUUGGGAUAACUUCAGGAAACUGGGGCUAAUACCGGAUAGGAGCUCCUGCUGCAUGGUGGGGGUUGGAAAGUUUCGGCGGUUGGGGAUGGACUCGCGGCUUAUCAGCUUGUUGGUGGGGUAGUGGCUUACCAAGGCUUUGACGGGUAGCCGGCCUGAGAGGGUGACCGGCCACAGUGGGACUUGAGAUACGGCCCAGACUCCUACGGGAGGCAGCAGUGGGGAAUAUUGCACAAUGGGCGGAAGCCUGAUGCAGCAACUCCGCGUGCGGGAUGACGGCCUUCGAGUUGUAAACCGCUUUCGCCUGUGACGAAGCGUGAGUGACGGUAAUGGGUAAAGAAGCACCGGCUAACUACGUG